AUAUGUUUGUUAACAGUCAUAGGAUAAAGAGGGUCUGGAAAAGGAGAGAGGUGGGUGUUCUUCAAUUCUUAAUAUUAUUUACGCCAUUUUUUCUCUAUUCUAUAUAAAUUUUGCCCAUUAUUCUCUUUUUUUUAUAUUCAAGAAGCCCACUAUUCUCUAUUCUUAAAUUUUUGGCCUAUCCUUUUCUUUUCUAUUCUUUAUUUUUUUAGCCCAUUAUUCUCUAUUCUGUAAAACUCCAUCCACACCCUCAUAUAGAAGAUGCCAUUCUAGUUAUCUACGUCUUUUUUUAUUUCACUUAAUUAUUAUGAUUGUAUCUCUUAAUGUUAUUUUUUUUUCUUUUUUAAAAGUAGUGUCUUUUUCUAAUACCCCAGUCCCACUAGGCCACGAUCGCACUACGAUCUGUGAAAAAAAAUGCAAAUUUUGAUGAUCGUAGUACGAUCGUGUAGAUCGCAGUAAGGUCGUAUCACGGUCGUGGUGAGGUCUUCAAGAUCGUGAUGAGCGUGGCUAACUUUGAACAUGUUCAAAACAAUCGUGGUGCGGUCGUGGCGAAAUCAGAUCGUAGUAGAAGCGUAGUGAGAGCGCACUAAAAUCGUAGUAAGAUCGCAAAGGUCGCUGUACCAUCGUAGCGAGAGCGUGAUUCUAUUCGGAGAAACUGCGCUACGAUCUCAUUGCGACGUUAUUACGACCUCACUACGACCAUCACGUUCUCAUCGCGACCCAAUUACUCUCCACUACGACUAUACCACGCUAUUCACGACCAUAGUACGAUUCUAGCACGCCCUUGCCGUCGUCAUCACGCUCUUCUUACGACCUGACUACGUUCAUACUACGAUCAUCAUUCUCAUUGUCAUUUUCAC
This 857-nucleotide long non-coding RNA is filed under the name Mytilus galloprovincialis (Mediterranean mussel). Lineage: Eukaryota; Metazoa; Mollusca; Bivalvia; Mytilida; Mytilidae. The record is from RNAcentral.